RNAcentral lists this long non-coding RNA (655 nucleotides) under Capra hircus (goat). RNAcentral's name for it is "lncRNA (ENSCHIG00000003701.1)". Lineage: Eukaryota; Metazoa; Chordata; Mammalia; Artiodactyla; Bovidae. The record is from RNAcentral.
UAAUCCUGUGACCUUGUCCUGCCCUUGCUUCUGGCCUCCUGGACACCUGACCUUUCUUUCCACUUAUGCGGUGUCACCCUGCUCACACCCGAGUCUCAUGUUCCCUCUUCCUCUUUGUGGGCCAUGAAUCUAACUUCCUGGUCCUCUUGGUGGAUUUCUGCUUUUGUUCACAGGGGAAAUCUGCUGGGGAACCCAUGCGCCUCUCCCAAGGCACCCACACAGCCACAUGCUUCCCCGACCACAGGGCUGUGACCCCAGGUCUGCGACCCCAGGUCUGCAUUUCUCCGAAAGAAUGACCUCGUUCCCUCCCCCGGCAAUGGUGGGGUCAUCAUGUGAUAGAGGAUUGUCCAGACGACAAACGGAACCAGAUGAUGAUCACAGGGAAAGCCAAGUAUGGAAAAACCUGAGCAAACAUUUCGGAUGGCUGUGGCUUCCUCAUGCGUGCUCUGUUGGGGAUGUGGAUCCCACGUGUAGGAGUAGCCAAUCUGACCAGCAACCCCGCCAGCCACCAUCUUACUGGGAAGCUGCCAUCUGAUUUGAGGAUGCAUUCACAUCUCCUCUGAUGCUCCCAUCCUCACAUCUAUGUAGGUGGACAAGCUAUCUCUGCUAAUACUGGAUUUCAGAAGCUUCUUAGAUUUUCACACUAUUAUAGGAA